Molecule: ribosomal RNA, 253 nt
Filed under: uncultured bacterium
Lineage: Bacteria
Description: partial 16S ribosomal RNA
Rfam family: Bacterial small subunit ribosomal RNA
Source: RNAcentral
UACGGAGGGGGCUAGCGUUGUUCGGAAUUACUGGGCGUAAAGGGCGCGUAGGCGGCCAUGAAAGUUAGGCGUAAAAGCCCUGGGCUUAACCCGGGAAUCGCGUUUAAUACUUCGUGGCUAGAGAUCGGUAGAGGAAGGCGGAAUUCCUAGUGUAGAGGUGAAAUUCGUAGAUAUUAGGAGGAACACCAGAGGCGAAGGCGGCCUUCUGGGCCGACACUGACGCUGAGGCGCGAAAGCGUGGGGAGCAAACAGG